This 254-nucleotide ribosomal RNA is filed under the name uncultured bacterium. RNAcentral describes it as "partial 16S ribosomal RNA". It matches the Rfam family "Bacterial small subunit ribosomal RNA", at positions 524 to 776 of the family's 1533-position model. The record is from RNAcentral.
UACGUAGGGGGCAAGCGUUGUCCGGAUUUAUUGGGCGUAAAGAGCUCGUAGGCGGUUUGGCAAGUCACGUGUGAAAUCUCCACGCUCAACGUGGAGGGGUCACGUGAGACUGCUAUGACUAGAGUCCGGUAGGGGAGUGUGGAAUUCCCGGUGUAGCGGUGAAAUGCGCAGAGAUCGGGAGGAACACCCGUAGCGAAGGCGGCACUCUGGGCCGGUACUGACGCUGAGGAGCGAAAGCGUGGGGAGCAAACAGG